UCCACGCCGUAAACGAUGAUCACUCGCUGUUUGCGAUAUACAGCAAGCGGCUGAGCGAAAGCAUUAAGUGAUCCACCUGGGGAGUACGAUCGCAAGGUUGAAACUCAAAGGAAUUGACGGGGGCCCGCACAAGCGGAGGAACAUGUGGUUUAAUUCGAUGAUACGCGAGGAACCUUACCUGGGCUUAAAUGUAGGCUGCAUUCGGCUGAAAGGCUGAUUCCCUUCGGGGCUGCUUACAAGGUGCUGCAUGGUUGUCGUCAGCUCGUGCCGUGAGGUGUCGGGUUAAGUCCCAUAACGAGCGCAACCCUUAUCGUUAGUUGCC
This 322-nucleotide ribosomal RNA is filed under the name uncultured bacterium. RNAcentral describes it as "bacterial SSU rRNA". It matches the Rfam family "Bacterial small subunit ribosomal RNA", at positions 794 to 1119 of the family's 1533-position model. The record is from RNAcentral.